RNAcentral lists this long non-coding RNA (1336 nucleotides) under Mus musculus (house mouse). Its description in RNAcentral is "long non-coding RNA chr13:92387794-92389130". The record is from RNAcentral. Lineage: Eukaryota; Metazoa; Chordata; Mammalia; Rodentia; Muridae.
UGGCCCUAACAGGAAAGUUCUUCAGGAAAAGAAACACACACACAAAAUCUAGUAUUAGUAUGUCUAAGAGUAAUAUAUAUUAAAAAUAGUUGACAAUAUCAGACUUAGUGUUAUUUUCUGUUUGUCUUCUAUGAUUAGGAUUUUUUGGAAACUUUUAUAGAGAAAUUAUUUAAACUAUUAAGUCACAGCCUUUGUUUUCAACAGGAAAAUGAGGGUAUAGAGCAUUGAGAGGAAAAAUGAUUUUCCAAAAGUCAUCCAUCAAGAGAGAGAGACCAGACCAUACAAAAGAAAAAAGUCAAUUCUAUAGAACAGUUGCACAUCAAAUAAAGCAAUAGCGCUUUCUUGCAAUGAACAUAACCUGAAAGCCACCAAUAUCCAGAAUUUGUAGGACUCAGUGACUCAGUCAGAAAAAGAAACAAGUUAUUUACAGAGGAAAUUGAAGUGGCCAAUGCAGAGCUGAACCUUCUACCAGAAAGGAGAGAGGCAGGGGAGGAAAUUACAUGUGCCAGUCUCACCAUCUUUAGACUAAAAUGUUGACAUCUCCCAGAGCUAGGGAUGCUAUGCUCAGCACGCAGCAGUUUCACUGUGGAUAAGACCAAGAGAACACCUCAUACAUGCCAAAACGAAAGACAAAAGCACCCUGGAAAUCUAGACACAAGGAAAUUGUCGUCUGGCUAUUUUAGUAUGAGUUCUCUCCAAUGUGUAUUCUGAAACAAUUCAGUGAAAGUGGUGUGUGUGGUAGGAUGCACCAGAAAGCACAGUUGGGAUAUGGGAAAACAAGAAACCUAGUUCAAGGUCAUUAAGCAGAUUCCCAUUGACAACCCGGGAAACUGAGGGAGGAAGAAAGCUGGAGUGUGUAGAUCCUGAUCGUUGUUUGCACGAUGUUCCACACUGCCAGCUUGUUGCUCUGUGUAAACCGGACACACUCCAACUGCCAAGGUCCCAAGCUGCUAACAUAAAUGCAAAGAAUACGAAACACUAGCAAUUCCAUGUUUCUGCUACUUUCUACAUAAAAAAAAGUGCACAGCCCAGUAAUUUAUUUGAAAUAUAAUAUCCAUCAGGGUGAGGGUAAGGGUGAUAAUCAUAGCUUCCACCAAAGCAUUGUGUAUACUGAAAAGGAGACAUGAUACGUUUUUGUGUUAGAAGGCGAGGUUUCAGGUGGGCUUUGAAUUUGGUUUGACUGAGACUCAUUGAGUUUGAGGUGUCUUUAGGAAAGGAAGAAAGAAGGGAACAAAAAAUAAAAAGCAAUGGAAACAUGCCUUCAAAUUCUGAAAAGGAAAUUAUUUUCAACUAAUACAUCUAUGCUCACUCAAAUAAAGACAGACGUGUGUGGGUC